CUACCUACGGGGGGCAGCAGUGGGGAAUAUUGGACAAUGGGGGGAACCCUGAUCCAGCGACGCCGCGUAAGUGAAGAAGUAUUUCGGUAUGUAAAGCUCUAUCAGCAGGGAAGAAAGAAAUGACGGUACCUGACUAAGAAGCCCCGGCUAACUACGUGCCAGCAGCCGCGGUAAUACGUAGGGGGAGAGCGUUAUCCGGAUUCACUGGGUGUAAAGGGAGCGUAGACGGCCAAGCAAGCCAGGGGUGAAAGCCCGUGGCCCAACCCCGGGACUGCCCUUGGAACUGCAUGGCUGGAGUGCGGGAG
RNAcentral lists this ribosomal RNA (305 nucleotides) under uncultured bacterium. RNAcentral's name for it is "bacterial SSU rRNA". It matches the Rfam family "Bacterial small subunit ribosomal RNA", at positions 335 to 654 of the family's 1533-position model. The record is from RNAcentral.